GCGGUAUUCUGUACCGUGCAAAGGUAGCGCAAUCACUCGUCCCUUAAAUAAGGUCCUGUAUGAAUGGCUAGACGAGGGCUUAACUGUCUCCCCCUUCAGGUCAGUGAAAUUGAUCUAUCCGUGCAGAAGCGGAUAUAAUAAUACAAGACGAGAAGACCCUUUGGAGCUUCAGGUACAAAACUUAUCUACGUAAAAUAACCUAAUCAAAGCACAAAACCUAGUAUGAAUAAGAUUAUACCUUCGGUUGGGGCGACCAUGGAGGAAAAAAUAGCCUCCAAGUGGAUUGGACACAUCCCAAAAACCAAGAGAAACAUCUCUACGUCACAGAACAUCUGACCAAAUAUGAUCCGGUCAUAUGACCGAUCAACGGACCAAGUUACCCUAGGGAUAACAGCGCAAUCCUCUCCAAGAGUCCAUAUCGACGAGGGGGUUUACGACCGCGAUGUUG
This 448-nucleotide ribosomal RNA is filed under the name Inlecypris auropurpureus. RNAcentral describes it as "partial 16S ribosomal RNA". It matches the Rfam family "Bacterial large subunit ribosomal RNA", at positions 1933 to 2534 of the family's 2925-position model. The record is from RNAcentral. Lineage: Eukaryota; Metazoa; Chordata; Actinopteri; Cypriniformes; Danionidae.